Molecule: ribosomal RNA, 500 nt
Filed under: uncultured bacterium
Lineage: Bacteria
Description: bacterial SSU rRNA
Rfam family: Bacterial small subunit ribosomal RNA
Source: RNAcentral
GAUGAACGCUAGCUACAGGCUUAACACAUGCAAGUCGAGGGGCAGCAUGAACUUAGCUUGCUAAGUUUGAUGGCGACCGGCGCACGGGUGAGUAACACGUAUCCAACCUUCCGUUUACUCAGGGAUAGCCUUUCGAAAGAAAGAUUAAUACCUGAUAGUAUGGUGAGAUUGCAUGAUAACACCAUUAAAGAUUUAUUGGUAAACGAUGGGGAUGCGUUCCAUUAGGUAGUAGGCGGGGUAACGGCCCACCUAGCCUGCGAUGGAUAGGGGUUCUGAGAGGAAGGUCCCCCACAUUGGAACUGAGACACGGUCCAAACUCCUACGGGAGGCAGCAGUGAGGAAUAUUGGUCAAUGGACGAGAGUCUGAACCAGCCAAGUAGCGUGCAGGAUGACGGCCCUAUGGGUUGUAAACUGCUUUUAUAAGGGAAUAAAGUGAGUCUCGUGAGACUUUUUGCAUGUACCUUAUGAAUAAGGACCGGCUAAUUCCGUGCCAGCAGCCG